UAGGGAAUCUUCGGCAAUGGGGGCAACCCUGACCGAGCAACGCCGCGUGAGUGAAGAAGGUUUUCGGAUCGUAAAGCUCUGUUGUAAGAGAAGAACGUGUGUGAGAGUGGAAAGUUCACACAGUGACGGUAACUUACCAGAAAGGGACGGCUAACUACGUGCCAGCAGCCGCGGUAAUACGUAGGUCCCGAGCGUUUUCCGGAUUUAUUGGGCGUAAAGCGAGCGCAGGCGGUUUAAUAAUUCUGAAGUUAAAGGCAGUGGCUUAACCAUUGUUCGUCUUGGAAACUGUUAAACUUGAGUGCAGAAGGGGAGAGUGGAAUUCCAUGUGUAGCGGUGAAAUGCGUAGAUAUAUGGAGGAACACCGGUGGCGAAGGCGGCUCUCUGGUCUGUAACUGACGCUGAGGCUCGAAAGCGUGGGGAGCAAACAGG
This 429-nucleotide ribosomal RNA is filed under the name bacterium. RNAcentral's name for it is "partial 16S ribosomal RNA". It matches the Rfam family "Bacterial small subunit ribosomal RNA", at positions 355 to 776 of the family's 1533-position model. The record is from RNAcentral.